GUAACACGUGGGCAACCUGCCCUGCAGAUCGGGAUAACUCCGGGAAACCGGUGCUAAUACCGAAUAGUUUUUUGCCCCUCCUGGGGCAGAACGGAAAGACGGUUUCGGCUGUCACUGCAGGAUGGGCCCGCGGCGCAUUAGCUAGUUGGUGGGGUAAUGGCCUACCAAGGCGACGAUGCGUAGCCGACCUGAGAGGGUGAUCGGCCACACUGGGACUGAGACACGGCCCAGACUCCUACGGGAGGCAGCAGUAGGGAAUCUUCCGCAAUGGACGAAAGUCUGACGGAGCAAUGCCGCGUGAGUGACGAAGGUUUUCGGAUCGUAAAACUCUGUUGUAAGGGAAGAACAAGUACCAAGUAACUACUGGUACCUUGACGGUACCUUACCAGAAAGCCACGGCUAACUACGUGCCAGCAGCCGCGGUAAUACGUAGGUGGCAAGCGUUGUCCGGAAUUAUUGGGCGUAAAGCGCGCGCAGGCGGUCCCUUAAGUCUGAUGUGAAAGCCCACGGCUCAACCGUGGAGGGUCAUUGGAAACUGGGGGACUUGAGUGCAGAAGAGGAAAGUGGAAUUCCAUGUGUAGCGGUGAAAUGCGUAGAGAUGUGGAGGAACACCAGUGGCGAAGGCGACUUUCUGGUCUGUAACUGACGCUGAGGCG
Molecule: ribosomal RNA, 656 nt
Filed under: uncultured bacterium
Lineage: Bacteria
Description: bacterial SSU rRNA
Rfam family: Bacterial small subunit ribosomal RNA
Source: RNAcentral